Molecule: ribosomal RNA, 119 nt
Filed under: Helianthus annuus (common sunflower)
Lineage: Eukaryota; Viridiplantae; Streptophyta; Magnoliopsida; Asterales; Asteraceae
Source: RNAcentral
GGUUGCGAUCAUACCAGCACUAAUGCACCGGAUCCCAUCAGAACUCCGAAGUUAAGCGUGCUUGGGCGAGAGUAGUACUAGGAUAGGUGACCCCCUGGGAAGUCCUCGUGUUGCAACCC